Molecule: ribosomal RNA, 466 nt
Filed under: uncultured bacterium
Lineage: Bacteria
Description: SSU rRNA
Rfam family: Bacterial small subunit ribosomal RNA
Source: RNAcentral
AGGACGAACGCUUGCGACGUGCCUAAGAAAUGCAAGUCGAACGGGGUAGCAAUACCUAGUGGCGAACGGUCGCGUAACACGUGGGCAACCUGCCUUGAAGCGGGGGACAACAAUCCGAAAGGGUUGCUAAUACCGCAUGUGAACUUUUGUGGCAUCACGAAAUGUUCAAAGCUUUAUGCACUUCAAGAUGGGCCCGCGGCCUAUCAGCUAGUUGGUGGGGUAACGCCUACCAAGGCUUCGACGGGUAGCUGGUCUGAGAGGACGAUCAGCCGGAUUGGGACUGAGAUACGGCCCAGACUCCUACGGGGGGGCAGCAAUUAGGAAUCUUGCGCAAUGGGGGGCAACCCUGACGCAGCGACGUCGCGUGGAGGAUGAAAUCUUUCGGGAUGUAAACUCCUUUUACCAGGGAAGAACAAAUGACGGUACCUGGUGAAUAAGCCCCGGCUAACUACGUGCCAGCAGCCGC